AACGAACGCUGGCGGCAUGCCUAACACAUGCAAGUCGAACGAGACCUUCGGGUCUAGUGGCGCACGGGUGCGUAACGCGUGGGAACCUGCCCUUAGGUUCGGAAUAACUCCCCGAAAGGGGUGCUAAUACCGGAUAAUGUCUUCGGACCAAAGAUUUAUCGCCUUUGGAUGGGCCCGCGUUGGAUUAGCUAGUUGGUAGGGUAAAAGCCUACCAAGGCGACGAUCCAUAGCUGGUCUGAGAGGAUGAUCAGCCACACUGGGACUGAGACACGGCCCAGACUCCUGCGAGAGGCAGCAGUGGGGAAUAUUGGACAAUGGGCGAAAGCCUGAUCCAGCAAUGCCGCGUGAGUGAUGAAGGCCUUAGGGUUGGAAAGCUCUUUUACCCGGGAUGAUAAUGACAGUACCGGGAGAAUAAGCUCCGGCUAACUCCGUG
This 433-nucleotide ribosomal RNA is filed under the name uncultured bacterium. RNAcentral's name for it is "partial 16S ribosomal RNA". It matches the Rfam family "Bacterial small subunit ribosomal RNA", at positions 29 to 507 of the family's 1533-position model. The record is from RNAcentral.